Molecule: ribosomal RNA, 458 nt
Filed under: uncultured bacterium
Lineage: Bacteria
Description: bacterial SSU rRNA
Rfam family: Bacterial small subunit ribosomal RNA
Source: RNAcentral
ACUCCUACGGGAGGCAGCAGUGGGGAAUAUUGCACAAUGGGCGCAAGCCUGAUGCAGCCAUGCCGCGUGUAUGAAGAAGGCCUUCGGGUUGUAAAGUACUUUCAGCAGUGAGGAAGGCGGAGUCGUUAAUAGCGUAUUCGUUUGACGUUAGCUGCAGAAGAAAGCACCGGCUAACUCCGUGCCAGCAGCCGCGGUAAUACGGAGGGUGCGAGCGUUAAUCGGAAUUACUGGGCGUAAAGCGCAUGCAGGUGGUGUGUUAAGUCAGAUGUGAAAGCCCGGGGCUCAACCUCGGAAUAGCAUUUGAAACUGGCACACUAGAGUACUGUAGAGGGGGGUAGAAUUUCAGGUGUAGCGGUGAAAUGCGUAGAGAUCUAGAAGGAAUACCAGUGGCGAAGGCGGCCCCCUGGACAGAUACUGACACUCAGAUGCGAAAGCGUGGGGAGCAAACAGGAUUAGAU